Molecule: long non-coding RNA, 310 nt
Filed under: Aedes aegypti (yellow fever mosquito)
Lineage: Eukaryota; Metazoa; Arthropoda; Insecta; Diptera; Culicidae
Description: lncRNA AAEL024076
Source: RNAcentral
AUUUUAUAGUUCCGAGGGUUUACUCUUUAAUGGGUGAAAAUUUACUUCAACUUGUAGGUACAUACAACCAACAGUUGGAGCAAAAUUUUUAGACAGAUGGAACAAGAAGUUUAAAAUGUAGGAUAUACACCACAAGAUCAAAUCGGAACUUGCAAUGUUCUCCAUCGGCGGGUCGAACAUAUUAGGCAUAUGAAUAUCACGAUGUUCCGGGCGACGUAUCCAUCAUGAGCUGGAUAACAUCUUAUCACGAUUCUGCAUUACCUAACAUAUGAAAAAAUGAUUAAAUAAAGUUUAUUAGUUCAUCACUGAA